CACGUACUCCCUCCAUCCCAAAAUUCUUGUCUUAGAUUUGUCUAGAAAAGGAUGUAUCUAAAUACUAAAACGUNNNNNNAUACAUUUAUAUCUAGACAAAUUUAAGACAAUAAUUUUGGGACGGAGGGAGUAUUUU
Hordeum vulgare subsp. vulgare (domesticated barley) is the source of this 136-nucleotide non-coding RNA. The record is from Rfam. NCBI's taxonomy places the organism in Eukaryota, Viridiplantae, Streptophyta, Magnoliopsida, Poales, Poaceae.